AUCGAUCGGGGCGGCGCACUCCUCCUCCCAGCGCCCCUCGAUUUGGAUUGGCAGCACUCCUCCUCCCAGUUGCCGAUCAGAAUAAAACGACGCUCGCUGGAUCUCCUCCCCCAGCGGGCGUUGUUU
Ensifer adhaerens OV14 is the source of this 126-nucleotide non-coding RNA. Lineage: Bacteria; Pseudomonadati; Pseudomonadota; Alphaproteobacteria; Hyphomicrobiales; Rhizobiaceae. The record is from Rfam.